GCAUAUCAAUAAGCGGAGGAAAAGAAACCAACCGGGAUUGCCUUAGUAACGGCGAGUGAAGCGGCAAAAGCUCAAAUUUGAAAUCUGGUACCUUCGGUGCCCGAGUUGUAAUUUGGAGAGGGCAACUUUGGGGCCGUUCCUUGUCUAUGUUCCUUGGAACAGGACGUCAUAGAGGGUGAGAAUCCCGUGUGGCGAGGAGUGCGGUUCUUUGUAAAGUGCCUUCGAAGAGUCGAGUUGUUUGGGAAUGCAGCUCUAAGUGGGUGGUAAAUUCCAUCUAAAGCUAAAUAUUGGCGAGAGACCGAUAGCGAACAAGUACAGUGAUGGAAAGAUGAAAGGAACUUUGAAAAGAGAGUGAAAAAGUACGUGAAAUUGUUGAAAGGGAAGGGCAUUUGAUCAGACAUGGUGUUUUGUGCCCUCUGCUCCUUGUGGGUAGGGGAAUCUCGCAUUUCACUGGGCCAGCAUCAGUUUUGGUGGCAGGAUAAAUCCAUAGGAAUGUAGCUUGCCUCGGUAAGUAUUAUAGCCUGUGGGAAUACUGCCAGCUGACUGAGGACUGCGACGUAAGUCAAGGAUGCUGGCAUAAUGGUUAUAUGCCGCCCGUCUUGAAACACGGACC
Molecule: ribosomal RNA, 613 nt
Filed under: uncultured yeast
Lineage: Eukaryota; Fungi
Description: eukaryotic LSU rRNA
Rfam family: Eukaryotic large subunit ribosomal RNA
Source: RNAcentral